ACAUACCCCAAAGUGGAGGACAGCUCGUCGAAAGACGGGGUAAUACUCCAUAGUCUCGCAAGAGUAAAGCAGCAAUGCGCUUUGGGAAUGGCCUACGGCCUAUCAGAUUGUUGGCGAGGUAAAGGCUCACCAAGUCUAUGACGGGUAGGGGGCGUGAGAGCGCGACCCCCAAGAAUGGCACUGCGAUACGGGCCAUACUCCUACGGGAGGCUGCAGUCGAGAAUCUUCCGCAAUGGGCGAAAGCCUGACGGAGCGACGUUACGUGAAUGAUGAAGCCCUUUGGGGUGUAAAGUUCUUUUAUGUGGGAGGAAGUUAUUGACAGUACCACAUGAAUAAGGGGAUCCUAAUUCUGUGCCAGCAGGAGCGGUAAUACAGAAUCCCCAAGCGUUACCCGGAUUUAUUGGGCGUAAAGGGUCCGUAGGUGGUAAUGUAAGU
RNAcentral lists this ribosomal RNA (435 nucleotides) under uncultured bacterium. RNAcentral describes it as "bacterial SSU rRNA". It matches the Rfam family "Bacterial small subunit ribosomal RNA", at positions 124 to 588 of the family's 1533-position model. The record is from RNAcentral.